GGGUGCAAUCAUACCGGCACUAAUGCAUCGGAUCCCAUCAGAACUCCGAAGUCAAGUGUGCUUGGGCGAGAAUGGUACUAAGAUGAGCUUUGUCGCAAGACUUCCAUAGACACAUGCA
RNAcentral lists this ribosomal RNA (118 nucleotides) under Cephalotus follicularis. Lineage: Eukaryota; Viridiplantae; Streptophyta; Magnoliopsida; Oxalidales; Cephalotaceae. The record is from RNAcentral.